ACUGGCUCAGGAUGAACGCUGGCGGCGCGCCUAACACAUGCAAGUCGAACGGUGAAGUCCCUUCGGGGGCGGAUCAGUGGCGGACGGGUGAGUAACGCGUGAGUAACCUGCCCUUACGAGCGGAAUAACGUCCGGAAACAGACGCUAAUACCGCAUGACACGUGCUUUCGGCAUCGGAGGCACGUCAAAGAUUUAUCGCGUAAGGAUGGACUCGCGUCCCAUUAGAUAGUUGGCGGGGCAACGGCCCACCAAGUCAGCGAUGGGUAGCCGGACUGAGAGGUUGAACGGCCACAUUGGAACUGAGAGACGGUCCAGACUCCUACGGGAGGCAGCAGUGGGGAAUAUUGGGCAAUGGGCGAAAGCCUGACCCAAGCGACGCCGCGUGAGCGAAGAAGGUCUUCGGAUUGUAAAGCUCUGUUGACAGGGACGAAAAAAUGACGGUACCUGUCGAGGAAGCCACGGCUAACUACGUGCCAGCAGCUGC
Molecule: ribosomal RNA, 484 nt
Filed under: uncultured bacterium
Lineage: Bacteria
Description: bacterial SSU rRNA
Rfam family: Bacterial small subunit ribosomal RNA
Source: RNAcentral